Molecule: transfer RNA, 84 nt
Filed under: Clostridia bacterium
Lineage: Bacteria; Bacillati; Bacillota; Clostridia
Description: tRNA-Cys
Rfam family: tRNA
About the family: Transfer RNA (tRNA) molecules are approximately 80 nucleotides in length. Their secondary structure includes four short double-helical elements and three loops (D, anti-codon, and T loops).
Source: RNAcentral
GCACUUGUGUCCCGAGUAGCGAAGGGGGCGGACUGCAAAUCCGUUGUAGAAAUACCAUCGUAGGUGCGAGUCCUACCAAGUGCU